GCCUUCGUGAAGUAAUGGUCAGCACACUGAGCCGGUAUUUCAGAGGUCCGUGGUUCGAUUCCCGGCGAAGGCC
Non-coding RNA from Stegodyphus mimosarum, 73 nucleotides. Lineage: Eukaryota; Metazoa; Arthropoda; Arachnida; Araneae; Eresidae. The record is from Rfam.